Pan troglodytes (chimpanzee) is the source of this 29154-nucleotide long non-coding RNA. RefSeq lists it as uncharacterized. The transcript is spliced from 2 exons. The record is from RefSeq and is a predicted model, not a curated record. Lineage: Eukaryota; Metazoa; Chordata; Mammalia; Primates; Hominidae.
GAGUGGCCUGAUUCUGGGGUUUCCCUGCCCCCCCUGGGGUCCCUAAACUGCUGUGUGAUAUGUUUCUAACUAUCUGGACAGCUCACCCAAGAGUCAGUUGUUCCCAGUCGCUUCUUGCUGAGGAUAAGCCAAAAGAGGGCCGGGGGCCAAUCUGGUUUCUUUCAAGUGAAAUUAUGCUUCUCAAGCAGAGAAUGAUUGCCCACAGCAGUUAAACCUUGUUUAAUGGUAAUUAAAUUGCUUUUCUUCACUUUGAAAAAUCUCUUAAUUUUCUGUACAAAGGCAGGAAGCAUUUUUCUUUGAUUCUACAGGAUGUUUCUAAGUAUGGUGUAAUCAGUUCAUCUUACCUUGCCGGACUCUGAAAGAAUGAGUGUGUGGGAUCAGAUUUAGAAAUGCCUCAAAGGUUAGAAAGCCGAGUGCUGCCGAUUAACUCAAGCUCAGAUGACCAAAAAAAAAAAAAAAGCUGCUUUUCCCCUCACUUCUCCCUCUGGUUCUGCCUCAGUACUUUGCUUAGGAGUUUCUUAAAGCAGGCACAGUUGCCUGCGGGGCUGGUGUGUGUCACCUUUGCAAAGUGCAGAUGAGGUCUGGCAUGUCCCAUCUUGUUCCUGCCUGACUACAACUCUGCACACAGACAGUGUUGAUCUGGCUUGGAGCCCACAGUGGCAAUCCUUGGAGUGGAGGCAGCAGAGACCUCAGUUCUUCCUAGUGCUUGAGAAGUUAACUAACUGUCUUUCCCAUGAGGAAAAUGUUUUGAGACUGUAGAAGCAGAGAAGAGACUUCGCCGAAGCCCAUAGAAAAUAAAAAGCAAACCCUCAAGCAUGAAAAUCCCUGGCCCUGGAAUAAGUGCAGGUGAUAAGGCUUGCUAUCUGAUGCCUCAUUCCAUGUCUCUGGCUUCCCAUUGCCUAAAUUAAGAUGUCCUGAAAGAAACCUUGGGGGAAAAAAAAGCACAGUCCCCACAUUUGAAGUAGAAAUAGAAUGAAGGAGAAAAAGUGAUUUUCCUGAAGGAACAGAACCAACUCUGGUUUUCAAAAGCCUUAGUUUUACAUUUUAGUAGAAACUGUUAACAGUAGGAGGAUUUGCUUUGUGUGUGUGUGUGUCUGUCUGCCUUAUUUUGGUUCUGACCAUACCACUGCUAUCUCAGUCUUAGAGGCUGCUUUUGUGGCCCAGAGUGUUUCGUUCAGAUAUCUUUAUGUUGAGGUGAUAUUGAGCCAGCAGCCAAAGAAAUGCAUGGCCAAGAUAUGGAAUAUCUGGUCAACAGAGAAUAACAACAAAGUGGGACGCAUCAUAAGGUCAUAGGUCAGUGAAAACAGCUGCUAGCCGUUUAUAUGCAGGAGAGAAAGAAGGCCCAGGGAGUUGGAAAGACUGAAGGUAUUUUGGACUGAGCAGAGCAAAGGGAUUUGGGGACAUAUAAAUGUAUGAAACAAGAUGGUCAGGAAAACAAUUUUCUUCAAAGGUAGCAUGAAUAGAGUGAGGUAAGGAAACCCAUGGCCAUGGUACUGGCGGCCUAAUGGGAAAAGGCAGUGUAAUGACUUCUACAUGGAGACUUCAGUUCUGCCCCUCGUACUGUUGAAGAAUAUUCUGUCCAGAGAGGCGCUUCAGUUUCUACCUGGUUUUCUAAUGGCUUUAAAAAACUUUGAUGUAUUGGGGGAAUGGAAACAAAGAUAUUUACUAGAGAAGUGUUUGGCAAAAAGUGCCAAGCUUAUUCUUGAGAAAGGAUGGAACGGCAUGGCGGGUGGAGGGAGGGUUGGAACCAUACUCCAAAUUCCCCUGAGGCCCACACGUGUUCACCAGACGUCUGUGGGGAGCCCAGAUGAGAUGUGGGGCCCUUCCCCUUUCUCAUUUUCUUUUUUACUUUUAGCUCCCGGAUCAAAAUGAGUCCUUGAUUCCCUCAUCCCAUCCCAAGACCCUUUUUUAGUUGCAUUACCACCUAGUGAAGUCUACCAAGUCUUGAUUUGAGAAUCAAAACAAACGCAGAUCAAAGUCAACCUCAGGGAAUCAGAGAACACAGAAGCUGAACGAUGUAUCCAGCCUUCCCUAAAUGGCAGAUGAGGACACUGAGGCCAGGAAGCUCAGGUGACUUAUCCAGGAGCGUGCCAGUGCUUAGCCAAAGAUCUGGAACUGGGACUGAUGCUUCCUGAAAACAGAUUCCUGCCUGGAGUGCAUGACCCUGCUUGAGAAAGUGCAGAGGGACAGUGACAAGGCAGGAUAACGUAGCAGUCCCAGCGACUUGGGCUCCCAUCCUGACGCUUCCCCUAGGCCCCAGUGUUUUAUUUUCUGAUAAGGCCAGACCUGAGUCAGGUCCUGCCUCCUAACUCCUUUCUCUUCCUUCAGUGGGCAACAAAGAUGGCCACAGAAGCAGAGAGGGGUUCCUCCCAGGUACAUAUUUACCAGUACUUGUACCUUGCGCUUUUAAAAAGUCUUUAGCCAGGGAUAGUGGUGCAUACCUAUAAUCCCAGCUACUUGGGAGGCUGAGGUGGGAGGAUCACUUGAGCCCAAGAGGUCAAGGCUGCCGUGAGCCGUGAUUAUACCAUUGCGUUCCAGCCUGGGUGGCAGAAUGAGACCCUGUCCCCUCAAAAAACCUAACUCUGAUGAGGACUAUAUUACAAGUGUUAUAUACCAGAUUCUGGAUGGAGAAGGGAAAGUGAUUGUAGACAAGAGAAUAUUAUACUUGGUUGCUGUGUUCUCCAAACCCAAAUGCAUAGAUACACACAGACCCACAGACACACACACACAGACAUGAGUGGGACAUAUUUGAAAUCCUCACUGGCUUUGAAAAUCUGAGGCUAAUAGUUGGAGGAAGUGAGGGGUGACUGUGAGAGAACAAAUGUGUAACAGAUACACCCUGAGAAUCAGGGCUCAUAAAUAAGGAGUAGAGUCUAUUGCACCUAAGCCUUACUACUAGCCUAAGCCUUCAUACUAGAGCAAAACCGUGGGCAGACAGCACACAAAAGCAGCCCCUGUCACUCAGGGGCUUACUUCUUUUUUUUUUUUUUUUCUUUUUUUGAGACGGAGUCUCGCUCUGUCACCCAGGCUGGAGUGCAGUGGCGCGAUCUCGGCUCAUUGCAAGCUCCACCUCCCGGGUUCACGCCAUUCUCCUGCCUCACCCUCUCAAGUAGCUGGCACUACAGGCGCCCGUCACCAAGCCCGGCUAAUUUUUUGUAUUUUUUAGUAGAGACGGGGUUUCACCGUGUUAGCCAGGAUGGUCUCGAUCUCCUGACCUCGUGAUCUGCCCGCCUGGGCCUCCCAAAGUGCUGGGAUUACAGGCAUGAGCCACCGCGCCCGGCCGGCUUACAUCUUAAUGAGCCCACAGCUGCCUGUUGACCUGGUGUCAUCACGAGGGUGAUCACUAUUUCCAGCAAGCUCUUUGUCCCUCAAAGCCCAGGGAUCAGGGGCAGCCCGUGGAAGACGAGCCACUGGUUCCAGCGAGGCACAUGGAGAGAGGUUAAGCUGCUUCUACCCUGUUCAACUGUGAUGAGAUUCCAGCGAAAAUCAGCAUUGAGGGUCUCAGGUGUUUGCAGGGGGCUCUGGUAUGUUAGAAAAGCUAGAGGGAGGGGUCUGCCUUUGUGUCUGUUUGUGAGCGUGUCUACUCAAGUAGGAAAGGGGAGCACAGAUUUUUACAAAAUAGAUGUGGGCGGUUUCUUGUAGUCUUGCCUAACUGAAACCACGUUUGCCAGAGAUUACUUGGAAUUACCCUAAUAGGUGCUUUGUCAAAAUACUUGGUGCUGGCCAGAUGUGGUUCAUACCUGUAACUUCAGUGCUUUGGGAGGCUGAGACGGGAGGAUUGCUUGCGGCCAGGAGUGCAAAACCAGCCUAGGCAACAUAGUGAGACCCUGUCUUUACAAAAACAACAACAAAAUUACCUGGCUGUGGUGGUAUGUGCUUGUGGUCCCCACUACUCCAGAGGCUAAGGUGGGAGGAUUGCUUAAGCCCUGGUGGUUGCAGAUGCGAUGAGCUAUGAUUGCAUCACUGCAGUCCAGCCAGGGCAACAGAGCAAAAUCUUGUGUCUAAAAAAGAAAACAAUACUUGACGGUGAAAGCGGGUCCUGCUCAGGGAGCCCUUCUGGAAAGUCCUGGAGCCUGGAACUGAACUCCGUGAUUCCCCUGUACCUUCCCCCUGGGAGCCUGAGCACCCUUGAAGGUGACAGACACGGGGGAACCUGUGUCCUGUGGGAUCACUCCUCUCAGUCCUUCUCUACCACAUAGAGAAAGGGAUGGAUGGGAAAGUAAAGCCAACAAACCUCCACUUCCUUCCUCCUCCCCACUGCCAGAGUGGAGAUUCCUCUUUAUUCUGUGAAACUGGAUUCUGAAAUGCCAAACCAUUCCAUCUGUUGUGUUUUGGCACAAGUGCUCAAAAGAGCUCAGGUGUCUCCCUUUGCAAUUUCCCCAUGGCUUAAAAUUCAGUCCUGGAGAUCUGUGUCUUGUAGGAAAUGGAGGGGCUUUCCUUAUGCUUGUUUUUCUCUGUAAAGAAGCAUAAAGGUUUAAGUUUUCGUUGGGAGGGCCUAAAUUAGGAAGGAAAGAUUAUUUAAAUCAAAGCACUCUCAUUGUAGAGUCAUAAGCUUGGAUUUUGUGUGCAUGCCAUGCUAGCUCAAAAAACGAAGUUGAGAGUCAGAGCUCUUUGAAGGAUGAGGAAGGGGACCCGGGAAUGAGUGGCUCUGCUUCAGGAAGCAUGUUUUAAUGUGUGUUCCUAAAAAAGCUUCUGGAAAAGUGGUUUAGGAAGCUUCUGGGCUAGGGGAGACACCAUGAAAAACAAAACACAAAGUAUGUGAGUCAGUUAUGAUCAAUUGUGCCAUAAUCAACAUUUCAGUUGUAUAGUAGUUGCACUAUGAAAAGCACAAACAUAUUUAAAAAGACAAUUUUGAGGCCAGGCAUGGUGGCUCAUGCCUAUAAUCCUAGCACUUUGGGAGGCUGAGUCAGAAGGAUCAAUUGAGUCCAGAAGUUCAAGACCAUCCUGGGCAACUUUGUGAGACCUCAUCUCUACAAAAAAAAAAAAAAAAAAAAAAGCCAAGUAUGCUGGCACAUCCCAGCUCCUUGGGAAGCUGAGGCGGGAGGAUCACUUGAGCCCAGGAGUUCGAGGCUGCAGUGAGCUAUGAUUGAGCCACUGCACUCCAGCCUGGGCAACAGAAUGAGAUCAUCUCUUAAAAAAAAAAGGAGAAAGAUAAUUUUGAGAUUCAACAUAGCCCACUAACAGCUUCAUUGGACAUCAUACCUUUUGUCUAGACUUGACAGAAUUUGUUAAAUACUGGAAAGUUGUAUUUUUUAUCGUUUCCCCUGUUCUGUCUGUGAAUAGAGACGUUUGUUCUUUACCUAGUUUAUAGGACUGUCAUGAGGAAAGGUGACAUAAUAAUGGGUUCACAGUAUUGGAAGGGGGAGGACAAAAUGCCUGUUUACAAGAGACCCAGUUACAGAGCUAUGUGAAGUAAAUACUGAAUGUCAAUUCUAGGUAAUGAUCCUCAAUGUCACAGGUACUUCACGUAUUAAUACAUCUUUGCCAUUAUACAUAUGUCCUUCUCCAAAUGAUGGCUCUUUGCUGUAAAAGUUUGUCUUCUAAGCUGGUUGUGUGGAAUUUGGCCCCUACCUUCCACAUUGUCUUAUAGGAGUGCAUUUAGGCCAGGUGUGGUGGUUCACGACUCUAAUUACAGCACUCUGGGAGGCUGAGGCAGGUGGAUUACUUGAGGUCAGGCGUUUGAGACCCGCCUGGCCAACAUGGUGAAACCCCUUUUCUACAAAAAUACAAAAAUUAGCUGGACCUAGUGGUGGGCUUCUGUAAUCUCAGCUACUCAGGAGGCUGAGGCAGGAGAAUCGCUUGAACCUGGGAGGCAGAGGCUACAGUGAGCCGAGAUUGCACCACUGCACUCCAGCCUGGGUGGUAGAGCAAGACUCUGUCUCAGACAAAAAAAAAAAAAAAAGCAUUUAAUAUGGUGCUGAGCUGACCUCUUGUACUCUGAUUUUUUCAUUGUUUAGAUUGGAAAUAGGUCCUGAGUUCUAAUUCUGUAUUUGGGACUUGGUGACUGCUUCUAUCCCAGGCUUUGAUGGUUUAGACAGUGGAACCCUCCAUGGGGGGAUGUGGGUGAUCCUCUUGUCGGGGAAAAAAGAGGGUGAGUGACUAGGGGGUGGGCUACCGUAACCAGGACUCUGAGGAUAGGUGCAGGGUCACUGAUGACUGGGAAGAGUUGCAGGUCCUGCCACCAUCUAUUUUGCAUGGGAAGGACAUUUGCCUGAGCUAAGCCAUGGGAAAAAUCUAAAUUUAGAUACCUGAGCUCUUCACAGCAACUAAGCCAAGACACAGUAGACAGAAUGUUUUGACCUUUCAGAGUCAGUAUUUUACAUACAAGGACUCGAUUUCACAGAAAACCCUUCUCAACGCUUAUGUGUAUAUGAAAAGAAAGUUUGACCUACAGGAAUCAUUGUAAUGUAUCAGAUCCAUAUCACAGCUCAAUUAUUCCCAAGGAUUCAGGGAGGAAAAGCCAACAAAAAUGAAAAAAGGAAUAAAGGAAUUGGGUUGUUAUGGAAGAGAAAGCUAAAGGGGAUUUAUCUGAGGUCUGGAAGGCUACGACGGGUUGCAUUCAGAUGUCAUCCACAUGUCCACAGAGAACCGCACAAGGACUUCAAGGUGAAAUAGUGGCUGAUCAAGUCCUAGGAGUCUGAGCAAUCAAACAUUGGCAUGUGUUACCAAUUAAGUAGAGAGGUUGCUGCUGUUUUAGAGGCUUGAUGAUUGUCUGUCUUUAAGAGUCAAUAUUGGCUGGGCGCAGUGGCUCACGCCUGUAAUCCCAGCACUUUGGGAGGCCAAGGUGGGUGGAUCACAAGGUCAGGAAAUAGAGACCAUCCUGGCUAAUACGGUGAAACUCCGUCUCUACUAAAAAUACAAAAAAUUAGCCGGGCGAGGUGGCGGGCGACUGUAAUCCCAGCUAUUCGGGAGGCUGAAGCAGGAGAAUGGCGUGAACCCAGGAGGCGGAGCUUGCAGUGAGCCCAGAUCACGCAACUGCACUCCAGCCUGGGCGACAGAGCGAGACUCCGUCUCAAAGAAAAAAAAAAAAAAAGAGUCAAUAUUUGUGGGAGUCUCAAUUUAAGGUGCUAGGUAAAUUGGGAGUUCCAUCUGAGGUUUCUUUCAAGAUAAAAUGCCUUAUAAAAGUACCGUAAGUCCACCUGGCCAACAUGGCGAAACCUCAUCUCUGCUAAAUAUACAAAAAAAUUAGCUGGGCACAGUGGUGGCUCAUACCUGUAAUGCCAGCUACUUGGGAGGCUGAGGUGGGAGGAUUCUGUGAAUCUGGGAGGUGGAGGCUGCAGUGUGCCAGUAUCGCACCACUGCACUCCAGUCUGGGUAACAGCAAGACCCUGUCUCAAAAAAAAAAAAAAAAAAAGAGAGAGAAGUAUUGUAAGUCACUUCAGUAUUAGGGAUGGGGGCCAAAGUCCACUCACGUAUAAAAAUAUCCCUCAGAGGAAGACUUCUGUGUGUGUCUCAUGCACCACUUUAUGCUGUCUCUGAGGUUGUUCAUUCCAGUUUUCCUGCUUUUCUGUUCCAGACUUGGGCUGAUACCAGAGAGUGUGGAUUGCCUGCAGGGUUUCAUCCCCAUUUCUCUGUGUAUUUAAAUACUCACGGAAGAUUAGCAACUAUGCAUAAACUUUCCAGUUGUACUUCCUUAAUAAUGAUUACUGCUACUCUUUGUUGGUAGCUAAGGGAAGCGUCUGCAUGGAGGUGGCUUAGAAUUGACAAUGUGCAAAAUUCUGGGUCGUUUCAUAGGGGCUGGGGGAAGGCUUGGAAAUAAAGGCUUGGGUCAUUCCCUUGUGCUUAGCUCUUGCAGGAAACUCUUGCAACACCAUGCUGUUGUGUUAUCAUCUGCCUGGGUUUCGUCCCCAGGACAGAACGGCAUGAAUGAUGUCUUUAGUGUCUCACAGAAGGAACACUGGGUUCUUGAGUGCCUGCCAUCUCUGUCUCAUCUUGACUCCAAGGACAUUUUAACCUCUCAAUGCCUUGUUUUGCAGCCAAAGGUAUAUUAUCUAUUUGUCUUCCAUAUGCGUUCUGGGAGAUUAACCACUAAGCAUUUUGCUUUUCAGGUGUGAGGUGCUGUUUCCUUCUAAGACCGGUAUUGUUUCUGACUAACUUUAUCCAGUUGAGUGGGGUUGUGUCUCUAUUUCAUGUUACGAGAUGCCUCUAACAUUUUUAUUAUGAAAAUAAUUUUUGUGUCCAUUGAAAAGGUUUGGGAGGAGUAUUUAAGUUUUGUAGGGUAAUUAUAGAUACUCUAUCAGUCAUACAUUCUAUCUUUUUUAUUUUUUUUUUUUUGAGACAGAGUCUCGCUCUGUCACCCAGGCUGGAGUGCAGUGGUGCGAUCUUGUCUCACUGCAACCCCUGCCUCCCAGGUUCAAGUGAUUCCCCUGCCUUAGCCUCCCAAGUAGCUGGGACUACAGGCACGUGCCACCACACCAAGCUAUUUUUCGUAUUUUUUAGUAGAGAUGGGGUUUCGCCAUGUUGGCCAGGCUGGUAUCGAAUUCCUGUCCUCAGGUGAUCCGCCCACCUCGGCCUCCCAAAGUGCUAGGAUUACAGGUGUGAGCCACCGCUCCCAGCCCAUCACACACUCUAAAUCCAUACAACGAGUACAGCGGGACUUUUCUUUCUGUGUUUUGUGGCAAAUAAGUUGGUAGAACAUAUUAUCAAAUAAAGGCCAAAACUGUGUUCAGAGAGCUGGAAGUUCUUUCUUUUCCUGGUUUUGUUGUAUGUCUGAGACAUGCAGAGGGACAGACAAAAAGAUGCAUUUAAAAAAGAGCUGCCAGGGAACACAUACCAAAAUGGAAAUUUGGGAAGGGGAUGGACAAGAUGAGACAAAGCAGACAGACACAGAUUUUCUCAGGUCAACAAAGUUGUGUAAGCAGAUGAAAGGGGAAGUCUAUCAUAAUGUGUCAGACUAGUAAGACCAGCUUUAGAGUUUAAAAAAAAAGAAGUGGAAAAAGAAAAGAAAAAAUACACACACAAACAGAGGUGCACAGAACAUUCCAGGAAACCAUUGAACUGUGAGUGAUAACAUGUUUCCUUCUAUUCCUUCAAAGAUUUGUUUUAGAGGAUAGCUGGGAUAAGAGCUUGUGCUGAAAAAACAAUGCAAGGGAUUUGUAAAGAAACAGGGAAAUGAAUGAUCUGACAGGCCGUUUGUUACCACCAACAUUUUUCUUAAUUUAACCUGAACUUACUUGCUCUUGUGGUGGUCGGUCGGUCUUUCUUUCUCUCUCUCUCUUUCUCUCUCUCUCUCUCUCCCUUUCUCCCUUUCUCUCUUUCUCUGUCUCUCUUUCUCUCUUUCUCUCUUUCUUUCUUGUCUCACUCUGUUGCCCUGGCUAGAGCACAAUGGCACAAUCCUAGCUCACUGCAGCCUCGACUUCCUGGGCUCAGGUGAUCCUCCCACCUCAACCUCCUGAGUAGCUGGGACUACAAGUGUGUGCCACUACCCACCACACCCGGCUACAUUUUUGUUGUUGUUGUUUUGAGGAGACCAGGUUUCACCAUGUUACCCAGGCUGGUCUCGAACUCCUGGGCUCAAGCAAUCCGCCGACCUUGGCCACCCAAAGUGAUGAGUGCUAAGAUUACAGGCAUGAGCCUCUGUGCCCAGCUUGGAUAUUUCAAAGACAUUAGCCAUGGCCUUCAUGUUUAUCUGGACUUGAGGGCUUCAUACCUUCGACCAUAGAUGAUGCUUAAGUUGGUCUUUCACAUGGUUUCAGAUCCACAGACAUUUUAAUUAGGUCAAAUAACAAUCGUCUUCAUAAUGCCACCAUGUAUGUAUGUAGUCCUUUGGAGACUAUUUUGACAUCCUUUAUAACUGACAACACUGUGACUUUCAUCCUCCUCUUAGCUCACAUGCCUUAAUCCCACAACAGCAUGUACUGCCCUGUAGAGAAAUAUUCCUCCUUCCUCUUGGCUUGCUUUCUUAGCUUUGUCUCUAUCCCAAGACAGUAUCUGAACAAAGGCUCUUCAUUCUUGGUGCAACUCAGAGUUGGAAGAGUCAAGGGUGGAGGGGCAUUGGGCAGCCGGCCACAGCUGUCUUCUUCCUCUCUUAAUGUCUUUGUCUCUCCCAUCUUCAUGUGGACGUUUUCUCUCUCCUUCUUCUCUUUUUCCUCCCCUCGCUGAAAAAAAUAGGAUAACUGUUUUGAACCGGGCAUUAUGCUAGAUGAUAGAUGUACAGGGGUCAGCAAGAUGGGCAAGGUUUCCAUCUUCAUGUGUAUUAAAGUUUGGAGGGAAUAAAACAUUAAAAUAAAUAGUUACAAGGGUGGUGAGUAGUAAGAAAAGAUAAGGAAUGCUUAGCAAGGGGGACUGAAAUAGUGUAGAGGUGGGAUGAGGAGUCAGCGAAGUCUGAGUAAGUAAAUUCAGAGAGAAACAAAAGAACUACACUCUAGAUUUCCCUUUAGAGGAAAGGAAGGGGAAAGAAAUAAAAUUCCAAAGAGAAAAGGGCAGAAAGAUACUUUGUUUUAUACAGAACGCUGGAGGCCCCAGUGUAAUCAACAUCAAGUUUGUGUAUCUGCAAAGGCUGAUUUUUUUUUUUUUUUUUUGAGACGGAGUCUCACCCUGUCGCCCAGGUUGGAGUGCAGUGGCGCAAUCUUAGCUCGCUGCAACCUCUGCCUCCCGUGUUCAAGCAAUUCUCCUGCCUCAGCCUCCUGAGUAGCUAGGAUUACAGACAUGCACUACCACACCUGGCUAAUUUUUGUAUUUUUGGUAGAGACGGGGUUUCACCAUGUUGACCAGGCUGGUCUCGAGCUCCUGACCUCAGGUGAUCCGCCAGCCUCAGCCUCCCAAAGUUCUGCAAUUAUAGGCGUGAGCCACCAUGCUCGACCUAAAGACUGAUCAUUUUUUAUCAGUUGUCCAAAUACUUCAUCUUUUCUCCUUCCCUGAUACCAUUGCAUUCAGCCAUGGUGCUGAGAGGUGAAGCCAGCUGGACUUCCUGGGUCGAAUGGGGACUUGGAGAGCUUUUCUGUCUUAUAAGAGGAUUGUAAAACACACCAAUCAGCACUCUAGUUAGGAAUGUAAAACGCACCAAUCAGCGCUCUGUAGCUAGCAAGAGGAUGGUAAAAUGCACCAAUUAGUGCUCUGUAAAACACACCAAUCAGCGCUCUGUAAAAUGCACUAAUCAGCACUCUGUAAAACGCACCAAUCAGCAGGAGUCUAAAAGUAGCCAGUUGCGGAGGUUUAAAGAAAGGGCAUUCUGAUAGGACAGAAAUCGAAUUUGGGAGGGGACAAAUAAGGGAAUAAAUGCUGGCCACCCCAGCCAGUAGUGGCAACCCGCUCCGUCCCCUUCCACGAUGUGGAAGCUUUGUCCUUUGCUUUUCACAAUAAAUCCUUGCUACUGCUCACGCUUUGGGUCGGUGCCAUCUUUAAAAGCUGUAACACUCAGGACCGCGAAGGUCCGCAGCUUCAUUCUUGAAGUCAGCGAGACCACGAACCCACCAGAAGGAACCAGACACAGUGCCACCUACCCACAUCUUCCCCUAUGGCUAGAUGGCAGGAAUCCACAAACACCUGCCAAGACAGUAUUGUGAUCAUGUUACCAGCUAUAAUUGGAGGCAUCUAUUCCUAAGAGCCAGGAAUUCACAUAGCUGCUGGGAAGAUGAAGACUUACAAAGACCACUUGUGGUCUCUCAAGGAGUCUGUUGGCAGAGACUGGCAUACAUAAAACAAAUGGAAUAAAUAUUCUAUCAGGAAUAUGGGUAAGGUCUUACAGAAACCCAGAAGAGGAAAGAGUUCUCCCAAGGUAAGGGAACCUAGAAAAAGUUACAAAACUGAAAGAGCUAUCCAUCUAUCUAUAUCUGUAUCUAUAUCUAUAUAUCUAUAUCUAUACCUCUAUCUGUAGAGAUGGGAUCUUGCCACGUUGCCCAUGCUAGUCUUGAACUCCUGGCCUCAAAUGAUCUUCCUUUCUCAGCCUCCCAAAGAGCUGGGAUUACAGGCAUGAGCCACCAUGCCUGGCCCCAAGAAGGGAUAUUUGAGUUGAUCCUAAGAGAAUGAUAGACUGCUGAUAAAGCUAAAUAGACUUUUUUAGAGAGUUCCAUUAUUUUUGUAUUUUGUAGUUAAUGCUUAAUGUGAGUAAUCUUGCUUUAGAAAGAGAAAGCACCAGUCAAAACAAGCCUAUUUUCUUUUCAGCUAGGCAUAGUACUUGGUAUGGGUUGGCCUAGAAACAACUUCAUAUUCUACUCACACUGCUGCAUGGUUUGCCUAAGAGUACUCGAUAGAUGGAAUAUUGAAAUUUGGGUGUGGGUUAAAUUUUCAUAAAUCAAAUUUCAUUUCCCAUUAUCUUACACCUAAUUAAAGAGAUAAUGUGCCUUCUGAUGACCCUGUAAUUGGCAGUGGUAACUGGCCCUUUAACUCUGUUUCCCUGCCCUGCAGCUCCUGUCUCCAGCAGUUAGUUCAUCAUCUGUACACUAACAGUAAGCUACACGGGCAGGCACUAUUUUAAAAAACACACACAAAGCUGUCUGUGAAUGGCAAAGGAAUCAGAGCAAGUCAUUACUCUCUAGUUCAUUUGGCUAGAAAGGUCAGGUCGCCUAUAUUGACUUUUCAUGAAAACUAGGCAAACUAGUAGUUUUCAUGCACAAUAUGUCAGCAACCUGUUAUAUUUGAAAUUCUUUUUAAAUUAGGUGGGUGAAUGGUAUAAAACUUCACUGUAUUUUCUCCCUGCCUGUUAAUUGACUUGCUAAUCUCCUGCCAAUAUAUGUCCGUUUUAAAAAAGGAUUGUGGCCGGGUGCAGUGGUUCACACUUGUAAUCUCAACAGUUUGGGAGACCGAGGUGAGAAGAUCACUGGAGGCCAGGAGUUUGAGACCACCCUGGGCAACAGAGCAAGAUCCUUUCUCUACAAAAAAGUAAAACAUAUGAGGCGGCCUGUUGGCACACAUUUGUAGUCCUAGCUACUCGGGAGGCUGAGGUGGAAGGAUGGCUUGAGCCCUGGAGUUUGAGGCUGCUGUGAGCCAUGACCGUGCCACUGUACCCCAGCUUGGGCAACAGAGUGAUUCCCUGACUUAAAAAACAAAAAGAUUGCUUUAAACAGAGCAAAUUACACUUUGGCAGAAACAUGAAGGCUAAUACUUGAAUCCAAGCACCCACUCUCUCUGGGCUUACCACACUGAAGGCAAAAUGAGUGGGGUUGGUUUUUCUCCUCAAGAAAUGUUGUUCUGGGACAGUGAGUCAUUGGUUUUUGUUCUUGCAACCCUUCAUCAUAAAACAGGUUUGGUUAACUCAAGAAGUUCUAGGAAAUGUUCAAACACUGCCAAUAUUUAUCAAGGGGCAUUUUUAGGAGUAGCAGAGUGUCAAGAACUCAAAUUGACAUCUAGUGGCAACACUUCUAAAGAUUGGGGCCCCAUACUAUAUACAAUGCUAAAUUUCCAAUGCUGUGAUUGGAAAAGACUAUGAGAAGGCCUCUAGUCUCUUCCCACUACCAUCAUCUGCAGCAGGCCCACACCACCCAAAUCAACACAGGUAUGGAAGAGUCGCCCCCUGCCACAGGAGUGGGCAGUAAGUGUUAGAACGCAGAUUGCUGAGUUCUGGUUCUCAGUCCACCCAAGUCUAGUCUGUUUCCCUAACUGUAGAAGGAAGGUGUUAGAAAUGGAAAAUCCUUAAUAUAUUCUUUGAUUUUUUCAAAACAGAAUAAUUGAUUUUUAUCAUCUUUCUUAGUAUACCUUUCACGUUCUGCACAAUUAUUCUAGAUUCAAACUGAAGAUUGUGGUUCAUGUCAAGAGUCAGUUUGGUCACUGAACACUGUCUCAUCCAGCUGUGGGACACUCAUAUGAGCUUGGUCAUAGGUGGCUCAUCUUCCCCCACUUACUGGGUUUCCAUAAUGCCAUUCUCUUGGGCUGUUAGAUAAAAUAUUUACAACCCAUCCCUCCAUCAUCAUCAAAGCAAUUUAUAUGCACAAACUCCACUGUCACUAAAUCACAUGAAUGCAUCCAUCUUUCUUAUUUUCAUCUUUUUGAAAAUUAGCCAGCAUGGAAAAUAACGGCAAUCGAUUAAGCUAUUGCAUUGUGAAGAGUAGCUUAGAUUUCUUUCUUUCUUUUUUUCACCCUGUUGCCCAGGCUGGAGUGCAGUGGUGCGAUUUCAGCUCACUGCAACCUCUGCCUCCCAGGUUCAAGAGAUUCUCCUGCCUCAGCCGCCUAAGUAACUGAGAUUACAGGCGCCUGCCUCCACACCCAGCUAAUUUUUGUUUUAUUUUUUUAGUAGUGAUGGGGUUUCACCAUGUUACCCAGGCUGGUCUCGAACUCCUGACCUCAAGUAAUCCACCUGCCUUGGCCUCCCAAAGUGAUGGGAUCAUAGGCAUGAGCCACUGCACCCAGCCAGAUUUCUUUCUUUUGGUGAUAUUUGGGAGUAACUGUGGAAUGUGUCCCCCCACCUAUAUCAUACAGCAAUAUUUUUUUGAUCUACAAAGCACACCAUAUACUUCACUAUUUAUUCUGCUGAGGGGAAAUGGGUGAGACUGCCAGAUUUCUCUGAGAAUUACAGGGUUUUCAAGUCAUUAUGGAGAAAAUGAUUGAGGUUCAGUGUCAUUGGAAAAAGCAUAUUCUUAAUUUGUCUAUAAUUUUUCCUUUAAUUGGUAGUUUGGCUCCAUUUUCAAAGUACUUUUGAAGCUUUCUUUUCCAAUUUGGCAUCCAAGUUAUUUUUCUAAGUGCCAUUCAAUUUGGGACUUAUUUUCUAUUUUGAUUGACAUAAAAUAUGUCAUUCUGAAAGGAAAAAUAUCAACACAGUUUUUGAGUAAGAAACUCAGUAACAUUGAACUUAGUAAUCACCUCCCUUGGAGUGAAAUUUCAUGGUCAUAUAUAUUGAAAAAACCUCACAAUAUAACCAACAUGCUAUCUGAAUCUUGAUUGAGAUUCCACAUCAUAAGUGCUAAUUUCAGUUCUGACUAUAACCAAUUUGUUAGUUUAUACUUACUCUUUACUAAAGGAAUGAAGAGUAGGAAUAGGAUGGUGCGGUGGCUCACACCUGUAAUUCUAGCACUUUGGGAGGCCGAGGUGGGUAGAUCACAUGAACCCAGGAGUUCAAGACCAGCGUGGGCAACGUGGCAAAACCCCAUCUCUGCAAAAAAUUAUAAUAAUUAGCCAGGCGUGGUGGCAUGUACUUGUAGUCCCAGGUACUGGAGAGGCUGAGGUGGAAGGAUCACCUGAGCCUGGGGAGGUUGAGGCUGCAGUGUGUCGAGAUUGUGCCACUGCACUUCAGCCUGGGUGACAGAAUGAGACCCUGUCUUAAAAAAAAAAAAAAGUGAGAAUAAUGAAACUGUACACACGCAGGCCUUUUAAUAAACUUUCCCCCUGUACACAGCCCAUUCUAGCUAUAUAUAUUUCUUGGUCCCAGCCUCUUCAAAUAAAAAUUGUUUUAUUCAAAAGUAUGACCUAGCCUUAUACAAGAUAAGAUAGCCCUCAUGGCCACUUUUAUGCAUCUCCAUUUUAGGUUGGUUACAAGAGGCACAGAGAGACCAAAGCCCAUGGGAUGCUCAUAAGAGUAGGAAAUUGGGUGGGAAGGGUGGACUCGGGAGACAACCUGACAUCUCUCUACUUGAAGCCUAGCAAUAAGGUUCAAAGGUUCCUCAUGCCUUGUUUUCCCUUCUCUCUACAUGAUUAAGAUCCCAUUCCUGUAACAGAUAGCAAUGUGUUUAUGCAGUAAAAUUAGAUAAGGGAGAUUACUAGGGAAGUCACUACUCAGUUAGGGAUGUCAGUGGUGCUCACUGCAGAUCCAGGUUAGUAAUAAGAACUCUGGACUAGUAGCUAGGAGUGCUUGAAUCUAGAUUAGUUCUACUUUCUAACUCGAUGUGUGACAUUUUUUCCACUUAAUUUUUUUGGCCUUGGUUAUCUUAUUGGAAAAAAUAUUCAAGUUGCACAAAUAACUAAAUGAUGCCUGAGUUUUCAUUCAGUUCUAAAACUUCUCAACUGAGCAAUCUGUUGUUGAAAGGAGAGUACGAGUUCUAAAAGCUACUCUAGGGAGCUCUGCAUUCACCAAGCCGCUCCAUCAUUGUUGGGAAUAAAAUACUAAGGUUGACUCAUUGUCAAAGCCACAUUCUACUCAAACUGAAUGUGCAUAACUCGAAUUCUAGCCACAUUCCAGCCAAAUUGAGAUAGCUGUUCAAAUAGUCAUGGAUUUAUUUAAUAACUGACUUCGAAAUUCUUUACUUCUUUCAAGGUGGCAUUAACAAGUAUUUCGGAAUUUCAACAGAGAUCGGUUUUCACGCGCUCUUCAAUGAUCCCUGUGAAAUAAAUCAUAUUCAAGGGUUUUUUUCCCCUUAUGAGUUAUUCGUCUGAAGGAAGAAUUCUUCAUUUCUUUUUCUUUUAAAUGCAUGUUAGAAUAAAGUCUUCUUUGAAAAGUCUUAGUGAAAAGAGCAAACGUGGAAUAGCAUCCACCCCAGUUCUUUCUCUGGUCCUUGCACUCUGAGAAUGAAGUCUUAGACAGCAGAAUGUCAGGGGACUCUCAUUGCGUAAAAGUCUGUGCCCUUCUGCGCCUUGGACAGUUAUGGACAGAAGCCUUUAAGAAGAAGAAAAUUAAAACUAGUUAAUUUUUUAGUUAAUUUUAGCAACACUACAUAUAUGAGAGAGAGAAAAGAUGGCAUUUUCUGAAUGAAUGAGAUGCCUCUGCAUUUUGCCCAACUCAUUGGAGACUCAGGAUAGAGAAAAGGGAGAAAUUAUGUUUAGAGGCUGAUAAAUUUCCCUAUGGUUACUAUCAAGAGAUCAGACUCUUAUUAACAUUUGCAAAGUGUGAACAGAGAAGAGCAUUUGAACAAUAAGCAUAGAUUAAGUACUCCUCUUUCCUUCAUUCCCUUUUCUCUAGUCAUAUUCUCAGACAGUCCAGGCUAAGUAUUAAUGAUCUUCUUUGAAGUUAAACAUACCCUUGCUACUUUCAUUACAUUAUUAUUUUUAUGUUCUUCCUUUUGGAGUACUCAAGGUAAAUGACAUGGCAGAAUCUGUCCCAGUCCAGUGAGGGUGUCACAUAAGAGGCCCUUGGCUUACCUCUGUGCAUAACUGGCCCACAUCACAUCUUUAAUUAGAAGUCCAAGUUAUUGGCUGGGCACCAUGGCUCAUGCCUGUAAUCCAAGCACUUUGGGAGGCCAAGGUGGGUGGAUCACCUGAGGUCAGGAGUUCGAGACCAGCCUGGCCAACAUAGUGAAACCCUGUCUCUACUAAAAAUGCAAAUAUCAGCCGGGUGUGGUGGCGCAUGCCUGUAAUCACAGCUACUCGGGAGGCUUGAGGCUGGAGAAUCGCCUAAGCACACGAGGCGGAGGUUGCAGUGAGCUGAGAUCGUGCCACUGUGUUCUAGCCUGGGCGACAGAACAAGACUCUGUCUCAAAAAAAAAAAAAAAAGUCCAAGUUACUGUUGCAGGGAUUGGGACAUCUUGCCUUUCUCAAGUUGAGCAAUAUUCCCAAAUAUAAAAAUGUAGGAUCUUAGUCCAAUCAGAGCAGAUAUUUGGUGUAGGGCAUUUUCUAAUGUAGUACCAAUAAAUUAGAUGCAUACCUCAACCAAAAAACAGCCCAUAUCCAGUAAGUAAUAAGGCAAUGAUUUACGUUUCACAUAUUACCAGAGUAAUGACUAAUAGCACACAUGUAUAAACUGAAAAGUGACUGAUGCUUAUUUUCACAUGGGUCCAAAUUUAUUGGAUAAUUAUGGAGAAUAAUGAAUGUUUUCUGAGAGUUGGUAGUAAGAAAAUAUUGCCAUUGCUGGCCAGGCACAAUGGCACACACCUGUAAUCCCAGCAUUUUGGGAGACUUGAGGUCAGGAGUUCAUGACCAGCCACCUCACCCUCCCAAGUAACUAGAACUACUGGUGCAUGCCACCAAGUCCAGCUAAUUUUUUUUUUUUUUUUUUUUGAAGCGGAAUAUUGCUCUGUCACCCAGAUUGGCUAUGUUCUCCAUUCUAAGUCCAGUGGUUAGAAAUUGUCGAGUUCUCACAUCUGCAAAAAAUGUAAAAAAAAUGAACCUGCUACAUCUAAAUAUACUUUGUUGUUUUCCUACAAGUCCUAUUUUACAUACUUAUGGCAUUUUUACUGCAGUUUGAAAAUACAGUCAAUUCUUGUUAUUCACAGUGUUGAUGUUCUAUAAACUUGCCCUAAAUACUGCGUUAGUGAGUCCUGAAUUUAUUAGUUAAUACUGAAUUUCCUAGGGGAAAUACAGGGUUAGGUUCCUGUGAGCCUUUGGUUACCUUUUUAUCAACCAAUCAACAAAAAUCCUUAUUUUACCUGUGUUUUUGUUUGAAGACACCUUUUAAAAUAUAUAUUAUUGAUUCAUUAGCAUUGAACUAAGCUUAUCUAAUGCACUUAUUUUUUGUGUAAGGUGUGUCACAGCCUUCUUGAGCCUAGUAAUGCCAAACAGUACUUCCACACCAUACUUAAGGGCCAUUUCAUUUUAUUUCUUAAUUUUAAAAUUUAUUCUCUUUUCUUAUUUAAAGAAAAAAUUUGUAGAUGCCGGGUCUCGCCCUCUUGCCCAGGCUGGAGUGCAGUGACACAAUCACAACUCACUGGAGCCUCAAACUCCUGUGCUCGAGUGAUCUUCCCACCUCAGCCUCCCAAGUAUCUGGGACUACAGGCACACGCCACCAUGCCCAGCUAAUUUUUUAAUUUUAUUUUUUUGUAGAGGCAGGGUCUGGCUAUGUUUUUGAGGUCUUAAUUCCCCAAUGAACGUGACUAGUAUAUUCCAGGCUGGUCUUGAACUCCUGUCACAAAGCAGUUCUCUUGCCUUGGCCUCCCAAAGUGCUGGGAUUUCAGGCAUGAGCCACUGCACCCGGCUUGGACCAUUUUAAAUAGUGAAAUCACUCACACACACAUACACGCACGCAGGUGCACACACAGACACAAAAAGACACAAAAAUGCGAAACUUGUGGCACUAAAAAACUGUGGAAAGGGUGCUUCCUUACAGUAUGAAAACUGAAACAAAAAGGCAGAGUGUUGUUUAGUUAGACGCCACCUGGGAACGUGCUUGUUGGGAAACUCCAGUUGUCCACUGUCCUGCCAUGUCCAUGAUGACUGCAAACAUUUGGGAGUAUUAAUUUGAGGGUCACAAACAGAUUUUAGGUGAUGGGCGUAUUUACAAAUACAGAAUCUGCUAGUAAUGAGGAUUGACUGUAUAAUGCUUUAGUAGUCUCAAGUAUGUUUUUUUUCUCAUUAAGCCUUUGCUUAAGAUGCAGGCAAGAUUGAUGCUGUUGGUUUGGUGCAAAAGUAAUUGCGGUGCUUCCCAUUUAAAAGUAAUGGCACACAGUGCAAUUACUUUUGCUCCAACUUAAUACUUGGCUUUAUUGACUUUUAGCAUCAGUGCAGUUUGGUUAAUGAUAAAAUUUUCCAAAGCAGUGUCUCAUCUGCUGGCCUUAAAUUUUUCAAAAGCUUUUAAACCAAUCUUAAAAUGUUUUAUCCUCUUAGAAUCAUGUCCCUAGUUUUAUAGCUUGGAAAUUCUUGCUCUUUUCAAAUUGCUCUUUAACUCUGGCCUGAUUGGAAGGUGGCAGCUUUUCAAAUACAGGUCAUGGCAGCACUCAACCUGGAUUCCUCAGUUGCAGAAGACUGCUUUUGCUAGACUGCUGAAUUUACUUCCAACUUUUCAGAUGUUUCUGAGGUUGACCCUGGUGUGGUUCCAACUCAAAGUGGAGCAAGCAGGUGGAUGGCAGGUCUCUUCUUAGAGGCUUCCUAGAGGGAAGCCUCGUGAGUGGGAUGGGGGACAGGUUGCCCUGGGGGAGCCCAGGAAUGGGGAGACAGAAGGCCACCUGCUAUGCAGAUGAUAUAGUUUGGCUGUGUACCCACCCACAUCUCAUCUUGAAUUGUAGUUCCCAUAAUCCCCACACGUCGUGGGAGGGACCUGGUGGGAGGUAAUUGAAUCAUGGGGGCGGUUUUCCCCAUGCUAUUUUCAUAAUAGUGAGUGAGUUCUCAUGAAAGCUGAUGGUUUUAUAAGGGGCUUUCCCUUUCACUGGGCACUCAUUCUUCUCCUUGCUGCUGCCAUGUGAAGAAGGACGUGUUUGCUUCCCCUUCAACCAUGAUUGUAAGUUUCCUGAGGCCUCCCCAGCCCUGCAGAACUGUGAAUCAAUUAAACCUCUUUCCUUUAUAAAUUACCCAAUCUCAGGUUUGUCCUAAUCGCAGCAUGAGAAUGGCCUAAUACAGCAGGUUUUCCUGAGUCCUCUCUCUGACUCACCCUCUGACAGGCAAAAGACAGUGGCAGCACUGUCAGCAAUCAGCUGGGAACUUCUCCCCUGUGAUAGAAAGCAGUGCUUGCUGGCUUCCCUUUGUGAUGCUUUUGGACAGCAGGUCUAUGGACUUACGCCUUUUGUCCUUUGAGGACGGACGCACAGUCUGUGCAGCUCGAGGAUGCCGUCAUGGGUGAGAUGCUGUGGAGUGUGAUGACGCCACCUCUUAGGCUGUGUGUGAAAGUAGCGAGGAGAGGCAGGGUCUGCAUGAGCCACUUUGGAGCAGGCCAAAACACUGUGGAGAAGCACAUUACAGCCACAGUGGCGGUGUAAAGGGUCAGACUGACCACUGGCUUCUGGAAAGUCUUCAUUUCUGAAAGACUGUCAGGUAGAAGAUGGAUGAGAGUUACUCUGUGAGGCCGGAAACCUAGAACUCGGACCAUUGUGUGCAGACCAGGGAGAGGCAGUGUUUGGAGUGAGAUAAGCAGGAAUUUUGAAGUUUCACAGACCCGGUUUUGAAUUUACUCAUGAGCUGUGUGGCUUAGAGAAAGCUAUUUAAUCCCACUGACCUUCAUCUGUGAAGUGUCCAAAAAUAAUACAGAGCUUGCAGAGUUGUGUGGAUAAGGGAUAAUCUAUCGAAAGCAUCUGGCAAGUGGCAGACACAAUGUGGGCACUAGGCAAGUGGCAAGUCCCUUGUAUUGAGUCUUAUUUGUCUAUUCAGUGAAUAUUUGGAUACCAACUCUGCUGUUCUGGGCAUGAUGUUAGCCACUGGGGAGACAGAAGGAAUGAAAGAGAUGAGUAACCUGAUGUGUGCUGUCUAGUGGGGACUGCAAAUAAAGAGGUGGUUCACUAAAAUAGCUGUGAUAAGUUCUGUGAUGAAAGAAGAUGCUGGUGACAAGAGAACACAUAGAAGUGCCUCUUAACUCACACUUGUGGGGUCAGAAAACUUUUCCAUGAGGAAGAAAUAUCUACAUGGAUCCUUGAAAGAUGAGUUAGACAGACAAGGAAGUAGGCAAGGAUUGGGUUUCCAAGUUCACAGAGGAACACACGCAAAGGCCUUAGGGGAGAAAAUAGCAUGGGGAUCUUUAGUGGAAAUCAACAAAUUUCAUGGCACCUGAGCACAGGUGUAACAGGAUGUGUCAGACUUCAGGGCAUGGUUAGAAGGGAGUGGAGAGCGGAUGAGCAGAAUCAGGUGGCCAUAUCAGAGCCUAGAGUUUAUGUUAAGGGAAACAGGUGUUAGACGCAGAGAGACAUAACAAGAGUUGCUUUUAGAAAGGCUGCUGUCUACAGGGUGGAGAUGGAAUGGAAAUAUGGGGUUGGGGAGGCAGUGGUAAGAGAGCCAGGAGGGAAAAUUAGUAGAAGAUUUAUCUGUAGAGAUUAAGAGAGCCUGAUUUAGGGUAGAGGGAGGGACAAGCAGGAUGGAGAGAAGCAGAUUGGGUCAAGGUGUGUUCAGGAUUCCCAGUCCUGGAACCAAACGGAACUUGGUGAAUGGAGGAGGGGAAAGAAAAAGAAAGGGGAGGUGUCAAAGACAUCCGGCUAGAUGAUGGGAUCUUUCACAAAAUGAGGAAGCAGUUUGAGAGGUGGAGAUAGAUAAAGAGUUUGGUGUUGGCUGCUGUACUUGGGGUUAUAUAGGACACUCGACUGUCAUUAGGCAGUUGAACAACAUAGGUUAAGGUCUAGUAGAGAGAAAUAAGCUAGAGGGAGUGAUUUGAGACUCACAUGCAUGUGGAUUAUUUGAAACCAAAGAGUAGAUGAGAUGACCAAGAGGAGUAGGCAGAACAAGAAGUUGGGGGCAUAGGACAACCUUGUACACAGUGGUGCAGGACUGGAAUGUUGAGUUCAUUCUCAGAGAUCUCUUUGCAUUUUACCAGGUUUGAUCAGUUAUAUCCAUCAGCAACUAAGAGUAAACAGAAAGGCCAGAUAAUUGUCUACAUUUUUCCGCUGGGUAACAGCAAGAACAAAACUAUUUUAACACAGCACAUUCUAACAAGUUUAGGAAAGUGGCAAGAAGGACUUUAGAGAGACAAAGUAUUCUGAGAAAGUGAGGCAUUCACGAGAGAAGUUAUUGACACAGAUCAAGACCCAACAAGACCCUUACAAUUAAAUGAUGUUCCUUAGAGGAUUAAGAAAUUUCUUGGCCGGGCGCAGUGGCUCACACCUGUAAUCCCAGCACUUUGGGAGGCCGAGGCGGGUGCAUCGCCUGAGGUCAGGAGUUCGAGAUCAGCCCGGGCAACACGGUGAAACCCCGUCUCUACUAAAAAUACAAAAUUAGCCAGCUGUGGUGGCACAUGCCUGUAAUCCUAGCUACUUGGGAGGCUGAGGCAGGAGAAUCGCUUGAACCUGGGAGGCGGAGGAUGCGGUGAGCCGAGAUCGCACCAUUGCACUCCAGCCUGGGCAGCAAGAGUAAAUGUCUCACCAAAAAAAAAAAAAAAAAUUAUCUCUCAGGAUGUCCAAUUUGAGCCCUUCUAGACAUACAUCACUUGUACCUUUUACUUUACAAGUAAAAUAAAAUAGAGUUCUAUUCCACAGGUAAAUGCAGUUAUUUUUAAGUGUGUAACUCAGGGGUGUCCAAUAUUUUGGCUUCUUUGGGCCACACUGGAAGAAGAAGAAUUGUCUUGGUCCACACGUAAAAUACAGUGACACUAAGGAUAGCUGAUGAGCUUAAAAAAAAUAAAAAUAAAAAUAAAACUCUUUUUUUUUUUUUUUGAUAUAGAGUCUCACUCUGUUGCCCAAGCUGGAGUGCAGUGGUGUGAUCUCAGCUCCUAUAACCUCCACCCCCCAGCUUCAAGUGAUUCUCCUGCCUCAGCCUCCCAAGUAGCUGGAGAUUACAGGUGCAUGCCACCAUGCCCGGCUAGGUUUUGUAUUUUUUUUAGUAGAGACGGGAUUUCACCAUGUUGUCCAGACUGGUCUUGAACUCCUAACCUUAGGUAAUCUACCCACCUUGGCCUCCCAAAGUGCUGGGAUUAUAGGUGUCAGCCACUGCGCCUGGCCAAAAUCUCAUAACAUUUUAAGAAAACUUACAAAUUUGUGUUGGGCUACAUUCAAAGCUUUCCUGGGCCACAUGUGGCCUGUGGGCUGCAGGUUGGACAAACUUGGAACUGUUCUCUUGAAUAACAUGGAAGAUAUUGUAAUUUAAAUAUCUGAAGUUCUGUAAGUUAGCAGAAAGCAUGUAGCAAUCAAAAUUAACAUUUGGGAUGCUUGGUAUUUGUGUUCAACUGUCGGUCUUGUUAGGAUUUCCUGUACAGUAGCAGUGGGGAUAGAUUCUCUGCGUUAGAAAGAGGACUUCUUAGCAUUCACUGGUGUCUAGUUAAACCAAAUUUUUAAAAGUCUGUGCCACAGCCCCUGGAUCAAGAAAAGCCACACAAAAUGACCUAAAAUGCACAUUGGGAAACCUUACUCUCAUCUUAUUUUGAAAAACUUACUCUCAUUAUCUCUAAAUUGCAUUUCUAUUUGAGACACUUUAUUUAAACUAGUAUCUGCAGAGGAAAUUGGCACAGAGUUAAUGAUCUAGAUCUCACGGAAAGCUAAGAAUAUAAAAUGAGUGCUGUGUCCCGCACACAUUUUAAUUUCUUAACAAGGUGACUCAGGCUAGAAGGGCCUGCCGGUACCCUGAGCCAAAGUCCCCAGCUGUGCCUCAAGUUACAAGUUAAUGGCAUCAUAGCAUAAAGGGAUUUAAAAUGUUGCUAAUUUAUAGUGAGUGCUUUGGUUAUGUAAUUAGAGACUAAUAAGCAGGUUCAAGAUGAAGUAGCGCUGCAUACCUCAUGUGUGUUUGAGUUUCUGUUCAUUAGGAGGGACAUGCAAACUCUUUCCUGAGCUAUAGACAUCUUCAGCCUUCCUCCCAUGGAAACAUAAGUUGUUUCAGCAGCUGCUUGGCCUUCUCCAAGAAAUCUAUGCUGACGGUCAUUUUACACCAUAGAUGAAAGCAAUUCCUGUGUUAUGUCUGUUUUGGGCAGAAUACUGACAUUUCAAAGGUAAUUGUUCUAAAUCCCAAGAUUCAUUUUUGUUACGGUACACAUCAUUGGGUUUUGGGAAGUGGCAUCAAUGCAAGUUUUUAACAUUUUAUUUAUUCUGGAUUAAAAAGUUGGAAAAGUAUGAAAAAUAGCCCUUCAUAGUUCCAUUCCCAAGAAGCAAUCCCUGUUACCACUUUUGUUUAUAAUGUUCAGUAUUUUAUCUAUGCAUAGAUAUUUUUAGACAAAAAUAGGAUCUUUUGGAACACUCUGAUCUUUUAAAUUUGUCAACAUUUCCUGAGCUUGUUCUCAAGUCAUCAGGCAAUAUAAAUUUUUAAUUUCUUUCAUAUCCUCUAAAAACUGAAAAUUCAUCCCACUUCAACUGUCCAAUCCCUUUGCAGCUGUUCAGCAAACUCCAAAUUGAGAGGCUGUCUUCAAGCGGUAAAUGGAAUACUACCUUGUCAUAACACCUUUGGGAAUACUUGUAAUUCUUCUAUCUAUCUCACUUAUACCAGAGAUGUCAAUUUAAAUAUGAGAUGGACAACCAGAAUCUAUUAUUUAUCUCAUUCCGUUAUAGGAAGUCCCAGUUGGAUAUUCAACACAUCAUAACUGACACCAUCUCCAUCAGGAAGCAUUAACUAAACAUGUGAUUUACAAAGUAUCCCAUAAUCAACAGAAAAACUACACUGCUUAAUCCCUACCUUCAAGAAUUUACCACUGCAGGUGAAUGAAGUGUUUUUUUACCCUCUCAAAUAUACAGUCUGGCACGUCAGGAGUCAAAAUUGUUCUUAGCUCCAUCACACAUAGAUGGUGGUCGGCUAAUGUAAAUCACUGAUGCUAGCUCAAGCCAUGAGGUAUGUUCUAGAAAACAGGAUUGAACCAAAGCACAGUGGUUUUUGAGUCCACUAAUUCUAACAGCCAGAUGCCCCUUGCAGAAUGAGUUGGGUGUUACCACUAGCGUGCUCUACAGUGUUAUGCUAGAGAGAAAUUUACUUCCUUUGGCCACCCACUUCCUUGUUUUUAAAUAAGAACUGAGUUAAAGUUGCUAACUGUGAAGACUGAGUAAUUUGAAUCUGCUGUUGGUGUACUCAGAUUCCUUUUUUUUUUUUUUUUUUUUUUUUUUUGUCUUGGAGACAGAGUCUCACUCUGUUGCUCAGGCUGGAGUGUAGCGGCCCAAUCUCAGCUCACUGCAACCUCCACCUCCCAGGCUCAAGCGAUUCUCAUGCCUCAGCCUCCCGAGUAGCUGGAAUUACAGUCACGGGCCACCACGCCCAGCUAAUUUUUGUAUUUAUAGUAGAGACAGUGUUUGCCAGGCUGGUCUUCAACUCCCAACCUCAGGUGAUCCGCACAACUUGGCCUCCCAAAGUGCUGGGAUUGCAGGCAUGAGCCACCACACCCAGCUCAGAUUACUUUUUACUCAAAUUAAUGGGGAUGAUUGAGGAUGAAACAGUGCAGUGAUUCCCCAUUGUUUUGUUUUCUUCUUUGCAUUUCUAGUGUCUGUUUUUUUUUUGUUGGUGGUGGUGUUUUUUUGUUUGUUUGUUUGUUUUUUUAAAAAAAAAGAUCUGCAGAGGCUAUUAUGUCCUUUGCAUAACCCAAGUCCAGUAGCAUCCUUGACUUCAAAGUCUGUUGGCAUUGAUGGCAUCAGACUCAGUCAUAACUGUCUUUAAUACAUCAUUAUAAAAUCUACAAUAUUGCUCAAGUGAAGAUAUUAUCAUGUAACUGGGAGAUAUUACUAAUUAAUGAGUAUGUGGAAAAUUUUCCCUAGAAAAUGAAGUGUUUGUGAAAGGGACUGAAGGAUUUUUGCAGAAGAGUCUAUGAGAAAGAUAUUAUAAACCAAAGGGUUAUGAAUUCUGCAUAUGAAACAUAAAUAGCUAUUAAAUAUUUUAUUUCAAUCAAAAAGUGUAAUGAAAUUAGAGCUUCUCAUUAGGAAUCUGGGAUUUAUAUGGAAACUUAUAAAACUAAAAGGUAAUAAAUUCAAAAUAGAAACACAGAUUUACCAAUUAACUGGAGUUAAAACUUUUUACUUCUCUUUACAGUGACGGGAGAAAAAUACAUCCUAAAUAUGUUAUUAUGGUAAAAAAAUAAUAUUGCUAGUGGACAGAAAAAAUAGUCAUUAAGAGGGUACAAGUUCAUCUGAUAGUUGCAACUAACGUUCUAAGGGGGUUCUCUAAGUUUAGUGUUUGAUUUUCUUAAAAACUGAUUUGAAAAUUCAUGGUGCAUGGGACUCAGUGAAGGCUCCUCUGUUGAAGAAAUAACUCUCUGAAAUAAAAUGAACAUAUAGGCCCUUUAUCUUUUUUAAUGGGUUGGCGUGCUUAGGCCCAUGAGGAUAGGUUUGGUAGAGGUUGAUGUUCUUCCUUUAUCCUUAAUCAUUGAUGCCUCUCUAGAAAAGAAAUGCUCAUGUCUUUUAGGUGGAACCAUAGGAUAUUGGUGAUUACGUAUGUCGAAAACAGUCAGAUAUCUGCAGUUUCAUGUCAUUCAUGCUAAUGAAUUCUAAAUUGGAUGAAGACCUUGACUCACCAGAUUUGGCAAGGAAUAGGGGUCCAUAUUUUAAGGACAAAAGGCUAGAAGCCUGUUUGCAAAACUCUAACAAACAUUUUUGCUUUUCUAAGAUUUCUGAAAUAAUCUUGAGUACACACAGGUGAAUAAUGUAAGUGAAGGAAAGUGAAAGGGUGCUAUAAAGUAAAAUGAAAAGAUCCUGAAUUUCAGCACUAAUUUGAAUAUGCCUAGAUUCUAGAUUGAAAAUGACCUUUUCCCCACAGGUAAAUAAAAUGUUUCCAUAAAGGAAUAAACCUGGCCGGGCGUGGUGACUCAUGCCUGUAAUCCCAGCACUUUGGGAGGCCGAGGCGGGUGGAUUGCGAGGUCAGGAGAUCGAGACCAUCCUGGCUAACAUGGUGAAACCCCGUCUCUACUAAAAAACAAAAAAUUAGCCAAGCAUGGUCGCAGGUGCCUGUAGUCCCAGCUACUCAGGAGGCUGAAGCAGGAGAAUGCCGUGAACCUGGGAGGCGGAGCUUGCAGUGAGCAGAGAUUGUGCCACUGCACUCCAGCCUGGGCAACAGAGCGAGACUCUGUCUCAAAAAAAAAAAAAAAAAAAGAAUAAACCUAAUUAUACUUCUUCAACUUACGAUGGACAUUUCUCUACCUAAGAAUAUAAAAUUAUCAAAUACUCUAGAGAAAGUUGGGUUUAUAUUCAAAUAGCACAAUAUCAACACAUGUGAAGGUCAGUAUUCCAUAGAUGGGGAUGUUGAUAGCUAAUUUCAAAUCAGUGUGUUUUGUUUAUUAAAGCUAGACUGCUGAUAGGCAAUAUUUGCUAGAAAAUAAUGUAAUUUUUAAAACUUUGAUGUGUAUUUAAAAUAAAGUUUUUAUUUUAGAACAAUUUGAGAUUUACAGAAAAAUUGUGAAGCUAGCACAGAGCUCCCACAUACAAUGUAUGCAGUCUACCCUAGUAUUAGCAUCUUACAUCAAUAUGGUACAUUUGUUAUGAUUAAUGAACCAAUAUUAACACAGUUAUUAUCUAAAGUUCAUAUUCAUUUUUUUUGCCAUCAUUUUUACCUAUGUGUGAUGUAAGUAAUCAUUCCAUUUCAGUAUACAUGAAUUACAAGACCAGAAUUGUUAACCCAUGCCCUGUGGGAAAGAACUUUAUCAAUUAGGGUACAGUGUGUUUGGACAGUUUCUUUUGUCUUUUGUCUUACAGAAAUAGUUUGUUUCCAACAUUAAUUAGGUCAACAUCUUCUCCCCACCACCUUUCCACAUACACUUACCCUCAGUGAGACUGUUUCAUACAUUUAUGAUACAGUUAGAUUGCUUGGUAAGAUCUGUUCCUUAGGCUCUUGGCUAUGACAGUUUCUCAGACUCUCCUUGUUUUUAAUGACCUUGACAAUUCGGAGGAGUACUGGUGAGUUAUUUUGUAGAAUCUCCUUCAAUUGAGACUUGUCUGAUGAUUUUAUCAUGAGUAGACUAGGGUUAAUAUGUUUUUGGAAGGAAGAUCACAGAAAUGAAAAGCCAUUCUCAUUAUAUCAUUAUAUCAUAUCAAGAGUAACAAUAAUCGGCCGGGCUCGGUGGCUCACGCCUGUAAUCCCAGCACUUUGGGAGACCAAGACAGGCAGAUCAUGAGGUCAGAUCGAGACCAGCAUGGCUAACACGGUGAAAUCCCAUCUCUACUAAAAAUAUAGAAAAUUAGCCAGGCAUGGUGGCGGGUGCCUGUAGUCCCAGCUACUCAGGAGGCUGAGGCAGGAGAAUGGCGUGAACCCAGAAGGCGGAGCUUGCAGUGAGCGGAGAUUGCACCACUGCACUCCAGCCUGGGCGACAGAGCGAGACUCCAUCUCAACAAUAACAAAAAAAGUACCAAUAAUCUGGCCAGGCAUGGUGGCUUAUGCCUAUAAUCCCAGUACUUUGGGAGGCUAAGGCAGGAGGAGCUCUUGAAGCCAAGGGUUCAAGACCAGCCUGGGCAACAUAGAGACCUCGCCUCUACAAAAAAUUUUUUUUUCAAAAAAGAAUACUAAUAAUCAAUAUGAUUUAUUGCUAUAAAUAUUAGCUUUGAUCACGAGGCUGAGGAGUCUUUUUCAGGUUUCUCCACUGUAAGGUCACACACAACCCCACCUCUUUUCUAUAUUGUCUUCUUUGGAAAGACGUCACUACGUGUUAUCCACACUUGAGGAGUGUGCUAUGUUCCCCCUCCUUCAGGGUGGAGAAUCUGCAUAAAUUAUUUGGAAUUCUCUGCAUAAGAAAUUUGUGUUUAUUUAUCCCCCUGUGUGUAUUUAUUCAAUCAUUCGUUUAUAACAGUAUAGACUCAUGGAUAUUUAUUUUCACUUUGGGUUUGAAUCCAGUAUUACUUGAUUGUUGCUGACAUUCAUCCAGCUUUGGCCACUGGGAGCCCUUUCAGUUGACCCCUGUGUUCCUUUGAUAUACCCUCUUCCCCUCUUCUUUGUGGUUUGUGGGUUCUUUGUUUUUUGUUGUUGUUUUGUGGCUCUUCUUUAUGGCACUGAAAGAUACUCCAGGCUCAUCUUCUACAUUUCCUGCCACAAUCCUAAAAUCAGCCAUCUCUCUAAGGAGUUCUAAACCAAAAUGUGUUCUUUGCUACUGAGGUGUUGCUUCUUUUUUUUUUUUUUUUUUUUUUUCCA